UGAAAGGUUCAGCACCAGGCGACCCAGAGCAGCGGAGCGGCUGCUGAACCGAGCCUCCACCAGGAGCUUCGCUUCAGGUGUCACUUCCUUAAUCAGAGCCGCAGCGGCGUCUCAGCAGGUCAGACGGGAGGAAGAGUCUGAUUGGAUCAGGAGCAUCGACCGGCCGUCCUGUGGUCUGUUCUACAGCCCGACUCCACAGUUCCAGGUUUUCCAGUUUGCCUGUGGACUAAUUACAGCUAAUUACUGUCCAGGCUGCUCUGCAUUCAUCUCCCUCAUCUGCAGGAGGAAUGUGGAAAAGAUGCUGCAGACACAAACACUGACUGACUCACAUUAAAGGCUGACGUCUUUCAUUGGUCGUGGGUUCGACUCUGUACAUCCUGCUGUUCUUCCCUCAUCCACUGAUGUUUACAUGGAGCCGUACAGCAGGACGAUCUGCUGGGGAACAAUCUUCUUCUUUGAACAGAGGCAGCAGCAUGCUUAAUGAGGCAGCGGCGGCGCAGACAGCGGACUCCCGCAGAUACAAGUGGCUCUGAAUCAGUGACAUGAACAAGUCUGAACCCACCGGGGGUUUAACUGAACGCUCACCAACCAACGGUGACAUUUCAUGAGAAAGUUGAUUCAUGCUGUAAUUAACGACACAUAGAUGACCUUCCAACAUUUUCCAUGACGCCUGGGCUUCAGCAGUUUGCGCUUCGCUCUUGAACCUGACCACAUAGAGAGGCUGUAUGCCUCAGACAUCGGAUUAAUGUGCAGAUUCAUCCGGAAGAAGCACAACAACACGAUGUCAAGAUCAGUGUGGAGCUGCACGACAGUUUCUUUAUAAAACUGAGGAGAAAAGUGAAUUACCGUUUCUAUAUUUUCUUUUAAAGAAAAGCCUUGGGUUGAUCUUUCUUCCUAUAUUCAGCAUUUCUUGGUUCUCCAUAAAUACACAUCACCUGCUCCAUC
Molecule: long non-coding RNA, 945 nt
Organism: Poecilia latipinna (sailfin molly)
Lineage: Eukaryota; Metazoa; Chordata; Actinopteri; Cyprinodontiformes; Poeciliidae
Exons: 2
Source: RefSeq, a predicted model, not a curated record